UAUAAAUGAUGAUAAUUAUGACCAGUUCUGCUACUGAAUGAAUUUGAAGAUAGUCCAUUUCUGAAGAAA
RNAcentral lists this small nucleolar RNA (69 nucleotides) under Habropoda laboriosa. The record is from RNAcentral. Lineage: Eukaryota; Metazoa; Arthropoda; Insecta; Hymenoptera; Apidae.